GUAUCUGAAUCUGGAGUUUAAGAGUUAAUACUUCACAGUUCGAAUAAACUCCCUUGAAGGUUUUUUUUGUAGAAGAUCUGAUGAAUUCAUUAGCUUGCUGUUCAUUUUAUUAAGCCCCAGAAGAAUUUCAGAGCAUUCUGGACUCAUUGAUAAGGUAGUUUCUUUGCUUAUUAUUACACUGUACCAGCUAAGCUGGGAACGUGGCUUCCCAGUGUAAAAUACCUUGGUGUUGAGCAGGUUGACAUAUCCUGCAUUGGCACAAAGUAGGUAAAGUUAGUUUGGCUGUACCUUCACAUGAUUCCCCAACUACUGAGCAUUCUGUGAGUAGCUUUAAUAUCUUCCCAAGAUCUUUCCCAUUCCUUGUGCUGAGCAUUGGCUAAUUCUAAAUUCUAUACUAAAUUUUCUCUGCAGUUAAAACUUGGUUUCAGAUUGCAGUACUGUAGAGUGCAGGUGAUCCCUCUUGAAGUACUUGCUGCAAGUGCUGUUAUUCCUGAACUGAAAAAAUAGCCUGUUGGGAAAUGUUGGUACCAGGUAACACCGACUUGGAAUAUCAAGCGUGCUAAAGAGGGCCUCAGCUUGUUUGGUGAAUGCUGCUUAUUUUCCCAGAAAAGUUUGGGGGUUGAUAACAUGCUACAACAAUGAAUUGCUCUUCAGGAAAUUCCCAAUUGGCAGUUCCUAAACUGCAGAGCAAGUAUUUGGGAGUUACUUGUAUUGGAUACUUAGUUUAAAAAUCAGCAGGACCGAUGCAAUUUGCUCGAUUGAAGUAGUAUUAACCAAUGCCUUAUGUUUUGUGGCGGGUGUUCGUGGGACACCCACAAAAGGUGAAGGUGUCUGAGCUGGGGAAUUCUGAACAUAAACAUUAAAUUAAUUUUUUCAGUUUAUUUUUCAGAUUACAUGUCAUUCUUUAUUAAAGAGAUGCCGGUGCAUAUCCUAAAGUAUGUUCUUUUGUAGUUCUGUAACUUGGAAGAGUGAAGGAUGCUGAUGUCCUUGUACCUUACAGAGCUUGUCUUUUGGUACCCCUGUUUUGUACGUAAGCUCCCGUUGCUAGGUGUUAAAAAUAGCUGAGUUGCAGAACCAUGAUGAGUGAGUAUUGAAAGAUUUGGCAGUUUUCAAAACAUCUGCAAGUUGCGUUAAACCUAGCUUUGUUGUAGCUGCAGAAGCAGAACUUCUAAAACAAGCUCUGCUUUGAGUUGCAUGUAUUAAAAAGGCAUACAAUUAACUAGCCAACUGCUUUUUUCAAGCCCUUUUUUUUUUUUAAGGUGGUGUCUUAAAAGCUGGCAAACAUGUCAACUUUAAAAUCUGCUAAAUGUGGGAGGUGAGAAAGUUCUGUUCCUUUGAUCUGUUCCUCUGAGGCUUUGGACUUUUUUCAUAAAACCAGAUUUAUAUAAUUGAAUCUUUAAAACCAUUUAGAAAAGUGCUUCGUUGGCCAGACCUGUUUUUGGGCAGUCUGGAUCACGUAACACAUUUUUGGACUGGACUUGGAGGACGUUGGCUGUUGCAAUUUAGCUUGCUUAAUCAAAUUUGUGAGCCCAUUUUGACACUUAGAUCUCUAAAAACUGCAGCAUGUAGAAACUGGUAUCGUUAUACAGAGAUCUUCACCCUUUGAUCAGAAAUGAAUACAGAAUAACCUUCUGGUGUAGACACAUGACACUAAUCAUUUAUACGGCUGAUGAGAAACUGAAACUGCUUUUGAGAUUUUGUGGUAUUUUUGUGGUAGAAAAACUCUUGGCUUCUCCUUGGCAACCAUUUACUGUGGCAGCAAGUUUUUGCUGGAGUUUUGAGACUGCAAUUUACACUUGUAACUAGUGGCCUGCUACAUAACUGCACUUAGCCAGCAUUUCUGCAGUUCAUAACUGUGAGGAACGUAGUACCACAAAUGGCAAUGGACAUUAGGACCCGGAUGUAGUAUUCCUGCUUGCUCCAAGAUUCUCAUUGCCGACUGCGUACAGGUAGGUAACAAGCAAUAUAAUAUAACUUGGUGACUUUCUAUGUAAUCUUAUACUGUGGGUAUUCUGACAUCACACUUCUGACUGUGGAAUUACAGUGCAGCACUCUUCAUACCUGUAUGUUAAGCUUGCAUCAAAGCUCUGCGUGGUUUUCGGUUUUAAGCUUUGUCUUGUUCAGAGUCAAUAAGCAACUUACUGUGAUUCUUAGAUGAGUAUUUUCAGACCCGAUUCCUUUGUACAUACGACUCGGCUUGGGUGGAUUUUUCUUAGUUCUGAUGUAACGAAGAUACUCUUGGAUGAGCUUUGUGGGGAAGAGGGAACGUGAUCUUAAACUCACUUAACUGGGUGCUCUCCGUGCCUAGAAAAGGACUGUUUAAACUCUCUGCAGUGACAGCGUGGCCCAUCUACAGUGCAUCCCUUUGUAGAGUCUUGGCUCAUAGGAAAUGCCUUAGUAAUCACUGCUUUAGCCUUGUGUGCACUACGUGGUAGUCACUUCCACCUUGCUAAGAGUCAGCUUUGAGACUGAUUUAUGGAACGUUUUUAAGAUCAUACAAAUAAGUGCUUGAACGAUGAUCGCUGUGAGUAGCUUAUAGAGCUUAUUGGACAUUUCAGUUGUCUUUUUAAUCUUUGACAAGCAUAAUACAUUCCUCUGCCUUUAAUUGACAGUGAUGAGAGUCUGUAUUUCUGCCUCGUAGAGUCAUCUUGGUAGUGUACUGCUGAAUUUCAGUUUCAUCAUUCUUGGGGAUGUAAUUCUAAACACUUAAUUACUAGAAACACUGAAUUUAGUGCUCCAGAAUUAACAUGCUUAUGUUUCCAGACAUCCAGACAUGCUGAUCUCCAGCUCUUUUGCAUUAGCUCUUGAACCUGAAUUUCAAGGUCCCUUGUUUCAGCACAUGAUCUAGCUCUUGUCUGAUGUUCAGUUUAUUUCAGAGGUGUUGUAACGUGUUUUCCUGCUUGUUCUGCAAAGUUCUGCCUCGCAUACUUGUUUCUGGUAUUAAUUGUCACAUUUGGACCCUUCUGUGUUACCUUCCAGGCAAGACUCUUGCUGCUUGAAGAGGGAAUCUGCUGGCCAGUCUUGCCCUCUGCUGUAGCUAUCCUUUCAUUGAAAGCUUGAAGUAGCAGCUGCACCUUAAGAUUAUAACAGCAGGUCUUUGGUUACACCACGGCGAGUGUAGCCCGACUCCAGCUAGCGAAGCAGUGACACCACUUUGGGUACCAGAAAUGACAUUAAAGUGCUUGCAUUGUGUUUCAUCUUGGUUUUAUCUGUGUGUGAAAUACACUUUUUCUCAAAAGCUUAUCUGAAGCUCAGAAGUGUGGUGUCAGAAUACAUCUGCGUACUGCUAGGCCCUCAGAUCCAGAUACUGGUGCUGUCAGGAGAGAGCACAGCACAGCGUGUAUGGGGGCUUCACUGUAACAUUAAGCAUACAAAGUGUUGAUUUGCUUGCAGUUUUCCCCCAUAGCUAAACACUGAGGCCUGUGAGUAGUUUUAGGACUCGAGCAGUAAUGGGGUUGCAUGUCUCUGUUAAUCAUUGCCAGCUGCAGUGACAUGACCAGGAAGGCCAGUGUUUCAUUCCAUUCUGUUCAAUGAGGCUAAGCCUGUUGGAAAGGAUGCAUAAAAAGUAUGCUGUCGUGGGUAAUUCCUUGGCUUCUUCCACUACUAGCAAGUUUGGAAUCAACUAAUUAGCUUCAGAUUUUUUUUUCCUCUCCAUACCAGCUAGUGGGGCUGUUAAAUAGCUGCUUACUGGAAAAGGCAAAAAAGGGAGGAUUGGCCUUCUCCCACCUCUGUCAUUGCUGCUAGAUAAUGAUUGACACGUUAGGACUUGGCUGUGCAAUCCCGCAGUGGUCUGUGAAUACCCCAUCUCUAUAAAUGUUGCUUCUGAACACCAGUACUGAAGAGCUAACUGGGGAGGGUGGGGAGGAGCGUGGCUAGAAGUGAAUCUGGAGUGUUAAAAGGAUGCACAAAGAUAUAGUAUCCCUUAUGCAUGGUGUUUGUUGCUAUGGCAUAGAAAACAAAAUGUGCAUACUCUACCUCUGCUCCUGAGGGCCAUGAUAAAACCCAGGUGGUGGGUUUGAGACUAAACUUCUCCCUGCCUGGUCGGAUCACAUUGUGACCAUGGUGUGAUCUGCCUCCCAGCUAGAGGUGUGUACUGCAUCCCUUGGCUGCUCAGCAUUGCAGUUUGCCCUCAGCUCCAGUAAAAGGCUGGGUCUUGAGAAGGGAGGAAUCUGUUGCCGAGGUCCAAAGCAGUAGUCUCACAAUGCUAACCUCUAGUGUCUUCUUUUAGCUUUUGAAGCACUUCUAGGACUAUUGAACCUGAGGGCUGCCAGGAGUCCAGGGACAUUGCCCUCCUUCAUGAAGGGGAAGAAAGAGGGUGUUACUAAGGAGACAAACUAGGGUAAAAGAGUUGAAGUAGCUUGACAAAAUUGUGAAUGCCUUCACAUAAGGGAUAGUAUACCUCUGGCUGCCAUCAAACUUCUUGUACUCAGACUGGUGAUUUACGGUUUGUGCUCAGACAAGGUGCAGUUCUUGAGUCAACUACCUGCAUAUUCCUUCAUCUCUUCACAAGUGGUUAGGUUAGCCUGUUUCUGCCCCUUAUUCUUCCACUUAAUAUCUCGGAAUAAUUUAUAAAUCCCCCCUCAUAACUAAUGAGUCCAUGUAUUUGAAAACCUUAUUUUUAAGUUAGUAUUGAAAUGGUCAGAAUUUUCUGUGUGUUACUAUAGUAACUUUGGUUGUUAUCCUUUAGGUGAAGAUGAAGGCUGAGUGAAAGCGGUGUGCUCAUCCCUGGGAAUUCAGGAGCCGAGCAUGAGCACAUCCAGCACGGUGCCCAGUGGUACGAGGAGGGACCAGGAGAGCAAGAGAAAUGGAGAUGAAGUCUGAACGCAGGGAAGAGGAGCCAGGAACACACAACUUUCAAAAAUAAAACAUUUAAUAUUUUUA
RNAcentral lists this long non-coding RNA (4881 nucleotides) under Strigops habroptila (Kakapo). Its description in RNAcentral is "lncRNA (ENSSHBG00005010887.1)". Lineage: Eukaryota; Metazoa; Chordata; Aves; Psittaciformes; Psittacidae. The record is from RNAcentral.